UAUAAAUACAAAAAAUUCACAAAAUAUUAUUCCAUUAUAUUAUUUUUAUAAUACUAUAUUAAACUUUCUCAUUGAAUUUGUUAUAACUUAUAAAAUGUUAAAUAUUAAUUCUGGAUUUAUAUUGAUAUUGAUUGCUUUAACCUUGACUUGUUCAUCUAUAGCUCAAUCCGCAGUACAAAAUGCACAUGUUGAGGGAUCUCUCACCCCAAUUGUCAGGCAAAGAAAAAUAGAUUAUAAUAGAAUAGCGAAAAUUUUUAAUGUAAUACAAGGAUUACAAAGGAGGAAAAAAUAGAUUUUACUUUAUCAAUAUUUUAAUUAUUAUUUUAGUGAUUUAUAUUGCGGGAAAUGUAAAAAUUUUAAUUAAUAAAAAA
This is a long non-coding RNA of Gordionus sp. m RMFG-2023, 371 nucleotides long. RefSeq lists it as uncharacterized. The transcript is spliced from 3 exons. Lineage: Eukaryota; Metazoa; Nematomorpha; Gordioida; Chordodea; Parachordodidae. The record is from RefSeq and is a predicted model, not a curated record.